Molecule: non-coding RNA, 81 nt
Filed under: Paenibacillus antarcticus
Lineage: Bacteria; Bacillati; Bacillota; Bacilli; Caryophanales; Paenibacillaceae
Description: Glycine sequence
Rfam family: Glycine riboswitch aptamer
About the family: This family represents the bacterial glycine riboswitch. Glycine riboswitches usually consist of two metabolite-binding aptamers domains with similar structures in tandem.
Source: Rfam by way of RNAcentral
GGAGCAGCUUCUGGAGAGACCGUGGAAAUUCCGCGGCGCCGAAGGGUUCACAAUCUCAGGCAAAAGGACAGAAGAGUACUG